GGGCUCGUAGUGUAGUGGUAGCACGCCCGCUCCUUUCAAUAGGAGGACUCUUGUAUUAUAUUUGGUAUGGUACAAGAGGGGCAGCGCGAGGUUCGAUUCCCGCCGAGUCCA
Xylariaceae sp. FL0016 is the source of this 111-nucleotide non-coding RNA. The record is from the annotation of a GenBank genome assembly. Lineage: Eukaryota; Fungi; Ascomycota; Sordariomycetes; Xylariales; Xylariaceae.